CCUACGGGAGGCAGCAGUAAGGAAUAUUGGUCAAUGGACGCAAGUCUGAACCAGCCAUGCCGCGUGGAGGAUGACGGUCCUCUGGAUUGUAAACUUCUUUUCUCUGGGACGAAACCCCCGAUUUCUAUCGGGCCUGACGGUACCAGAGGAAUAAGCACCGGCUAACUCCGUGCCAGCAGCCGCGGUAAUACGGAGGGUGCAAGCGUUAUCCGGAUUCACUGGGUUUAAAGGGUGCGUAGGUGGGCAGAUAAGUCAGUGGUGAAAUCUCUGGGCUUAACCCGGAAACUGCCAUUGAUACUAUUUGUCUUGAAUUCUCUGGAGGUAAGCGGAAUAUGUCAUGUAGCGGUGAAAUGCUUAGAUAUGACAUAGAACACCCAUUGCGAAGGCAGCUUACUACGGAGACAUUGACACUGAGGCACGAAAGCGUGGGGAUCAAACAGGAUUAGAUACCCUGGUAGUCCACGCCCUAAACGAUGAUUACUCGACAUUAGCGAUAUUACUGUUAGUGUCUAAGCGAAAGCAUUAAGUAAUCCACCUGGGAAGUACGACCGCAAGGUUGAAACUCAAAUGAAAUUGACGG
This 580-nucleotide ribosomal RNA is filed under the name uncultured bacterium. RNAcentral describes it as "bacterial SSU rRNA". It matches the Rfam family "Bacterial small subunit ribosomal RNA", at positions 338 to 916 of the family's 1533-position model. The record is from RNAcentral.